UGGCUUACAUGGACAUUAUUUCUCCAUGAGUGGACUUCCAUAUUUAGUGAAAAGCAAUAUCAAUGCAAAAUAUCAAGGUAAAAACAAAAGGAACCAGCAAUUUAUUAUAAGGUUAGGUGAGACCAAUGCAAAGGGAUAUACUUUUUUUUGACCCAUGAAUUUCAAGAUUUUCAAGUCAAAACAGCUGACCACUGGAAAAGCAGAGGCUUGUUCUCAGUUUCCUUUCACUUGAUGGCAUCAAACACUCUUUAGCUGAGAAGCCUUUCAAUCCUGAUCUUCAAUUACUGAAUGAAGGAAACUGUUUCCUGAGUUUUGCUUGGGUAUUUGCUUAUUUAAAUUGAACGAUCCAGAGCAAGAUAUAUCUUGAACUUCUGAUAAACCUUAU
RNAcentral lists this unclassified non-coding RNA (385 nucleotides) under Hevea brasiliensis (rubber tree). Lineage: Eukaryota; Viridiplantae; Streptophyta; Magnoliopsida; Malpighiales; Euphorbiaceae. The record is from RNAcentral.